UGACCAGCUGGCCGAAUGGCAGGCCACAGGCGGCUACCAGCUGCCCGACUGGGACCAGUUCAAGACCGAACUGGCCGG
RNAcentral lists this transfer RNA (78 nucleotides) under Antarctobacter aquimaris. RNAcentral describes it as "Maliponia aquimaris tRNA-Gly". The record is from RNAcentral. Lineage: Bacteria; Pseudomonadati; Pseudomonadota; Alphaproteobacteria; Rhodobacterales; Roseobacteraceae.